UUGACCUCAAAUCAGGUAGGACUACCCGCUGAACUUAAGCAUAUUAAUAAGCGGGGGGGG
Molecule: ribosomal RNA, 60 nt
Filed under: Candida tropicalis
Lineage: Eukaryota; Fungi; Ascomycota; Pichiomycetes; Serinales; Debaryomycetaceae
Description: partial 28S ribosomal RNA
Source: RNAcentral